RNAcentral lists this transfer RNA (82 nucleotides) under Terriglobia bacterium. Its description in RNAcentral is "tRNA-Asp". Lineage: Bacteria; Pseudomonadati; Acidobacteriota; Terriglobia. The record is from RNAcentral.
GGGGUUGCGCCAACUUCCUUCCGAGCAGGCCCCCGGCCUGUCACGUCGGAGGUCGCGGGUUCGAGCCCCGUCGUCCCCGCCA